AACGAACGCUGGCGGCAUGCCUAACACAUGCAAGUCGAACGAGACCUUCGGGGCUAGUGGCGCACGGGUGCGUAACGCGUGGGAACCUGCCCUUAGGUUCGGAAUAACUCCCCGAAAGGGGUGCUAAUACCGGAUAAUGUCUUAGGACCAAAGAUUUAUCGCCUUUGGAUGGGCCCGCGUUGGAUUAGCUAGUUGGUAGGGUAAAAGCCUACCAAGGCGACGAUCCAUAGCUGGUCUGAGAGGAUGAUCAGCCACACUGGGACUGAGACACGGCCCACACUCCUACGGGAGGCAGCAGUGGGGAAUAUUGGACAAUGGGCGCAAGCCUGAUCCAGCAAUGCCGCGUGAGUGAUGAAGGCCUUAGGGUUGUAAAGCUCUUUUACCCGGGAUGAUAAUGACAGUACCGGGAGAAUAAGCGCCGGCUAACUCCGUG
RNAcentral lists this ribosomal RNA (433 nucleotides) under uncultured bacterium. Its description in RNAcentral is "partial 16S ribosomal RNA". It matches the Rfam family "Bacterial small subunit ribosomal RNA", at positions 29 to 507 of the family's 1533-position model. The record is from RNAcentral.